Molecule: ribosomal RNA, 714 nt
Filed under: uncultured bacterium
Lineage: Bacteria
Description: bacterial SSU rRNA
Rfam family: Bacterial small subunit ribosomal RNA
Source: RNAcentral
AGAGUUUGAUCCUGGUUCAGAGCGAACGCUGGCGGCAGGCUUAACACAUGCAAGUCGAGCGGGCGUAGCAAUACGUCAGCGGCAGACGGGUGAGUAACGCGUGGGAACAUACCUUUUGGUUCGGAACAACACAGGGAAACUUGUGCUAAUACCGGAUAAGCCCUUACGGGGAAAGAUUUAUCGCCGAAAGAUUGGCCCGCGUCUGAUUAGCUAGUUGGUGAGGUAACGGCUCACCAAGGCGACGAUCAGUAGCUGGUCUGAGAGGAUGAUCAGCCACAUUGGGACUGAGACACGGCCCAAACUCCUACGGGAGGCAGCAAUGGGGAAUAUUGGACAAUGGGCGCAAGCCUGAUCCAGCCAUGCCGCGUGAGUGAUGAAGGCCCUAGGGUUGUAAAGCUCUUUUGUGCGGGAAGAUAAUGACGGUACCGCAAGAAUAAGCCCCGGCUAACUUCGUGCCAGCAGCCGCGGUAAUACGAAGGGGGCUAGCGUUGCUCGGAAUCACUGGGCGUAAAGGGUGCGUAGGCGGGUCUUUAAGUCAGGGGUGAAAUCCUGGAGCUCAACUCCAGAACUGCCUUUGAUACUGAGGAUCUUGAGUUCGGGAGAGGUGAGUGGAACUGCGAGUGUAGAGGUGAAAUUCGUAGAUAUUCGCAAGAACACCAGUGGCGAAGGCGGCUCACUGGCCCGAUACUGACGCUGAGGCACGAAAGCGUGGGG